CCGAGGGAACCACCUACCGACCCAGCGGCAGGGGUGGGGGUGGAGGGGCUCCUGAGAGAGUGUGGAUUUAGAGGAGUCUUCGGGAAGCUGGGGCAGCUCAAGGAUUGCGUACGCGAAAAGCUCUACACAGGACAACUCAGAAGAGACAUUUGGUGCCAUCGUAAUUCACUGUGGAAAUACUGCUGCCGCCGACGCAGCCGUGCCCUGCCCGCAGACGCCUUGCUUGUACCUGAUGAGACACAUCUUGUCCAAAGAGCACUGAAUCUGCUGGAUGCUGUGGGCAGGAGACAGGGACCAGGUGAUGGAAGAGUCAAAGGGCACAGUGUUUAAUAAGAGAUGAGAUAGAGAAGAAGCCAAGCAGGGCAGGCGACAGGAGUGUGGCCUUUGCUCCACAAGAGGGCUUGAGAAUAGGCUCCCAGAAGAAGCCUUGGCCUCCGAAACAGGGGAGUCUGGCAAAGGCAGCUGCGCGUGGGAACGGAGCAGGAGUUUCUCUUCCGUCCCCUGGCAAGGGCAGAGGUCACGCUUUCUGAAGACACCCAACACCCCGGUACAUAGAAGGAACAACAUGAGUCGACAACUCUUGGUUAGAACAAGAGUUCCCAUCAUGGCUCAGCAGAAACGAACCGACUAGUAUCCAUGAGAAUCUCCUUCUCGUGGCUCCGUCUCAGCUAUUUCUGGAGCUGGAUUCUGGGCAGAGCCCCAGCUUGUGCCCAGGCCUCUGUGGAUCCUGGGCCCCUGUUUGUCUGGUACCCGAGGUAGACAAGACCCCACAUCCAGUCUCUAUCUAAAAGGCCCAGGCAGAUACUGACUCAGAGAUUUUGAAAAACUUAAUGGUUUCAAAGGAGACAGGAUGGGGGGUAGGGGCAUGGGCUGGGGGUUUGGGAUGGAAAUGCUAUAAAAUUGGGUUGUGAUGAUCGUUGUACACCUAUCAGUGUAAUAAAAUCCACUGAGUAAUUACCAAAAUAAAUAAAAAUAAAAAUAAAAAAUG
Long non-coding RNA from Sus scrofa (pig), 988 nucleotides. RefSeq lists it as uncharacterized. The record is from RefSeq and is a predicted model, not a curated record. NCBI's taxonomy places the organism in Eukaryota, Metazoa, Chordata, Mammalia, Artiodactyla, Suidae.